AGCGGCGAACGGGUGAGUAACACGUAGGUGAUCUGCCCAUCAGACGGGGACAACGAUUGGAAACGAUCGCUAAUACCGGAUAGGACGAAAGUUUAAAGGUGCUUCUGGCACCGCUGAUGGAUGAGCCUGCGGCGCAUUAGCUAGUUGGUAGGGUAAAGGCCUACCAAGGCGACGAUGCGUAGCCGACCUGAGAGGGUGAACGGCCACACUGGGACUGAGACACGGCCCAGACUCCUACGGGAGGCAGCAGUAGGGAAUCUUCGGCAAUGGGCGAAAGCCUGACCGAGCAACGCCGCGUGAAUGAUGAAGGCCUUCGGGUUGUAAAAUUCUGUUAUAAGGGAAGAACGACUUUAGUAGGAAAUGGCUAGAGUGUGACGGUACCUUAUGAGAAAGCCACGGCUAACUACGUGCCAGCAGCCGCGGUAAUACGUAGGUGGCGAGCGUUAUCCGGAAUUAUUGGGCGUAAAGAGCGCGCAGGUGGUUGAUUAAGUCUGAUGUGAAAGCCCACGGCUUAACCGUGGAGGGUCAUUGGAAACUGGUCGACUUGAGUGCAGAAGAGGGAAGUGGAAUUCCAUGUGUAGCGGUGAAAUGCGUAGAGAUAUGGAGGAACACCAGUGGCGAAGGCGGCUUCCUGGUCUGUAACUGACACUGAGGCGCGAAAGCGUGGGGAGCAAACAGGAUUAGAUACCCUGGUAGUCCACGCCGUAAACGAUGUGUGCUAAGUGU
Molecule: ribosomal RNA, 726 nt
Filed under: uncultured bacterium
Lineage: Bacteria
Description: bacterial SSU rRNA
Rfam family: Bacterial small subunit ribosomal RNA
Source: RNAcentral